GACGAACGCUGGCGGCGUGCUUAACACAUGCAAGUCGAACGGAAAGGCCCUGCUUGUGUGGUGUGCUCGAGUGGCACACGGGUGAGUAACACGUGAGUAACCUGCCCUUGACUGUGGGAUAACUUCAGAAAACUGGGGAUAAUCCCGGAUAGGAGCUCCUGCUGCGUGGGGGGGGUGGGAAAGUUGCGGCGGUGGGGGAUGGACGCGCGGCUUAUCAGCUUGUUGGGGGGGGAGUGGUUUACAAAGGCUUUGAGGGGUCGCGGGCCUGAGGGGGUGACGGGCCACAUGGGGACUGAGAUAGGGCCCAGAUCCCAACGGGAGGCAGCAGUGGGGAAUAUGGCAAAAUGGUCGGAGGCUGGAGGAAGCAACGCGUCGUGCGGGAGGACGGCCUUCGGUUGGUAACCGGUUUCCGCCUGGGACGAAGUGUGAGUGACGGUAAUGGGUAAAGAAGCACCGGCUAACUACGUG
RNAcentral lists this ribosomal RNA (468 nucleotides) under uncultured bacterium. RNAcentral describes it as "partial 16S ribosomal RNA". It matches the Rfam family "Bacterial small subunit ribosomal RNA", at positions 28 to 507 of the family's 1533-position model. The record is from RNAcentral.